RNAcentral lists this long non-coding RNA (508 nucleotides) under Rhinopithecus bieti (black snub-nosed monkey). RNAcentral's name for it is "lncRNA (ENSRBIG00000045460.1)". Lineage: Eukaryota; Metazoa; Chordata; Mammalia; Primates; Cercopithecidae. The record is from RNAcentral.
AUUUAAGAUAUUGAUCUAAGGUUGGAUUUUUCUUCAUCUUCCUCCAGGCUAAGACCUGUAGCUGCUGCUGCCUCCCUCUAAGGAAGGUGAAGUGUUGGGACCGGCUCUUUCUCCACUCAUCUCCAUCACUACUAGCUAACUACUCUUCGAGCCUUGACAGUUUAAUCUGGUAGAAGAAAAGAUAGGUAGUAAAAACUUCUUACCUGACAGGUGACUUCCUUCCUUCUGGUCUGUCUGAUAAAGCUCUGUUUCCAGAUUUCUCACAAGGAAAUAUGGAUAACAAUUCCUGCCCCACUCAUCUCUUAGACACACAUCAAAGGAAGGAACAAGUAACAGAGUGCUUUGGAGUUGGAAGGGAAUAUAAUCAUCUCUAUAUCCUAGCAGAUGGUGCUGCGUUAGGAUAACUUGGAACUCAGAGCUUCUGCUGCUGGACAGGAGAGACGCAGCUGGGGGCAGACAGCAGGACCCCAGUCAUAUAUAUUCAAGGCACUUCCAAGAUCUAGCCUAG